CAAGUUGAUCAGGCAGGAAACUUGAGUAUUGCCAAUGAAUCAACUGAGGCUUAAGAAGUAGAACCACUCUGAUGCAAAUAAAGGCAAGUAUGAGUUUCAAAGGAAGGAGUCUUUGAUCUGGGAAUUAAGGAGGAACCAGUACUUGGAAUAAUAAAAGGAAAGGGCAUUGUAAGGUGGAGGAAAUAACAUCAGGAGUGUCAUGGGGUGAGAAUGAGCAGCCUGUGUGGAGGGGAUGACAAAAUCCCACAGGGAAGCCAGGUAGGUGGGAGAGGAGGGCAAGCACAAGGAAAAGCAGACCAGGGCUUAAAAAUUGGAAAAAUAGAUGGGGCUUGAAUGAAAAGGGAGUGCAGGAUCUAAUCUUUUGUCCUAAUGUUUUUUUUCCAUAAGGUAAUUCUGGUGGCAGUGUCAAAGUACUGGAUUUGAAAGAUGAGAGACAAAAGGAGACCAAUUAAGCUUUCAGAGUCACUGGGAUUACAGAUGUGUGCCACCACACCAAGCCACUCUUUUUAAAGCUGCAUUGCAGAAGAAGGAGACGGAGAAGGAGAAGGAGAAGAAGAAGAAAGAAGAACAGAGGAGGAGGAGGAGGAGGAGGAAGAGGAGGAGGAGCCACCGCCACCUAGAUUGAAGUCAUUUUCAAACUGAGAUCUCUGAUAAGGGAGCCAAGUGAGGCUCAGAGGAGUUCAGCCUGCUGCUUGACCCCAGGUCCAGGCCUACUAGCAAUGGUGCAGUGAGAGUGCCACCAUCGUGGGGUUAGACCCUGAGGGAGUGCCAAGAUAGGAAACCAACAAGGUGUGAAUAUCGUCCUUCAAAAAAUCUUUCUUUUGGCUCAUCAGUAGGCUGAACAAGGAAUCUAUUUAUGCUAAAUGGUGGAUAACUUCCUUGUCCUCACAAAUUAUUUCGAUGACAGAGCUAGGUAUCUGUUCAGUGCAUUUCUGUCCUGAAAGUCUACAGUUGUACAGUCUGGAUUUCAAACCUCCUCUUAUUCAGUCAGAAUUACUUCAGGUUACUCAGUGAUACUAUUUCCUGUUUGCUAAAUAUUUUGGAAUAAUGUUCAUUUCCAUAAAGAAAUCUAUUAUUGAUAAGAUAAAUUUCACUUGAGGGGUGGGAAUUAAGCUCACUGGCAGAGCGCUUGUCUAGCAUGCAAGGCCCUGAAUUUGGUCCUCAGCCCUGGGGGAGGGGUGGGGGGGGGAGAUAAUUUGCACUUGAAAAAAAUAUCCUACUUUCUUGAGAGGAAAGAGUGAGAAGCUGAGAGCCACUACCUUGCAAAAGCUCUGAAGUGUCAAAAGGAUCAUACAAGUUAAGACAAGGGAAUGGAACACAUAUUUGUUAAGUAUUAAACACACAAAAUUAAGAUUGGCAAAAUAAUUGGUUAUCUUCUGUGAAAUGCAUUCUAAGAGAAGAGUGAAAAAAACUAUUUUUCAGUAGUUUUUCUGUUAGUAUCAAUAUUUGCAUUAGUAUUUGUUAUUUUUUUGUAUUAUCCAGGUAAAAAAAAUAAA
Molecule: long non-coding RNA, 1496 nt
Organism: Ictidomys tridecemlineatus (thirteen-lined ground squirrel)
Lineage: Eukaryota; Metazoa; Chordata; Mammalia; Rodentia; Sciuridae
Source: RefSeq, a predicted model, not a curated record